UACGUAGGUGGCAAGCGUUGUCCGGAUUUACUGGGCGUAAAGCGCGUGUAGGCGGCUUUGCAAGUCGGGUGUGAAAGCCCUCGGCUCAACCGAGGAAGUGCGCCCGAAACUGCAGAGCUUGAGUACCGGAGAGGAUGGCGGAAUUCCCCAAGUAGAGGUGAAAUUCGUAGAUAUGGGGAGGAACACCGGUGGCGAAGGCGGCCAUCUGGACGGAUACUGACGCCGAGACGCGAAAGCGUGGGGAGCAAACAGG
RNAcentral lists this ribosomal RNA (253 nucleotides) under uncultured bacterium. RNAcentral describes it as "partial 16S ribosomal RNA". It matches the Rfam family "Bacterial small subunit ribosomal RNA", at positions 524 to 776 of the family's 1533-position model. The record is from RNAcentral.